UACGUAGGGGGCAAGCGUUGUCCGGAAUCAUUGGGCGUAAAGAGCGUGUAGGCGGCUCGGUAAGUCCGCUGUGAAAGUCCAGGGCUCAACCCUGGAAUGCCGGUGGAAACUGUCGAGCUAGAGUCCGGAAGAGGCGAGUGGAAUUCCUGGUGUAGCGGUGAAAUGCGCAGAUAUCAGGAGGAACACCGAUGGCGAAGGCAGCUCGCUGGGACGUGACUGACGCUGAGACGCGAAAGCGUGGGGAGCAAACAGG
Molecule: ribosomal RNA, 253 nt
Filed under: uncultured bacterium
Lineage: Bacteria
Description: partial 16S ribosomal RNA
Rfam family: Bacterial small subunit ribosomal RNA
Source: RNAcentral